This 749-nucleotide ribosomal RNA is filed under the name uncultured stramenopile. Its description in RNAcentral is "LSU rRNA". It matches the Rfam family "Eukaryotic large subunit ribosomal RNA", at positions 399 to 1235 of the family's 3401-position model. The record is from RNAcentral.
GUGAAAUUGUUGAAAGGGAACCGAUGGGAGGCAGUGUUGGCUUGUUAGUACUUGUACUGGUGAGCAAGUUUAGCUUCCUUAACUAUGUGGGAAAGGCUUCUGAAUCAGUUUGAGUCAGUUUUGCUGUCAUGUGGUUGAGGGACUUAAACGAAAUGCCUCUUAUCAUCCCGUCUUGAAACACGGACCAAGGAGUCUAACAUGUGUGCGAGUGCUCGGGUAAAACUCCCAGCGCGGAAUUAACGUAAAGCACUGAGGUAGGAUCUGUAAAGUGCACUAUCGACCGACCAUGAUCCUUCGGGAGAAAGGUUUGAGUGUGAGCAUACAUGUUGGGACCCGAAAGAUGGUGAACUAUGCCUGAGUAGGACGAAGCCAGGGGAAACUCUGGUGGAGGUCCGCAGCGAUUCUAACGUGCAAAUUGAUCGUCGAACUUGGGUAUAGGGGCGAAAGACUAAUCGAACCAUCUAGUAGCUGGUUCCUCCCGAAAUUUCCCUUAGGAUAGCUGCAACCGAACAGUUUUAUCAGGUAAAGCGAAUGAUUAGAGUCCUCAGGGGUGGAACGUCCUUGAACUAUUCUCAAACUUUAAAUGGGUAAGAGCCCUGAGUUGCUUAAUUGAACUCGGCGGUCGAAUGACGGUUGCUAGUGGGCCAAUCUGGGUAAGCUAGAUUGGCGAUGCGGGAUGAACCGAACGUCUAGUUAAAGUGCCAAAGUAUCCGCUAACCUAGAUCCCACAAAAGGUGUUGGUUCAUCUA